This 279-nucleotide long non-coding RNA is filed under the name Vicia faba (fava bean). The record is from RNAcentral. Lineage: Eukaryota; Viridiplantae; Streptophyta; Magnoliopsida; Fabales; Fabaceae.
AUGGCUUCCAUCUUUAGUGCGAUAUCUCUCUCCAGUUUGCUCAUCAGUUCUACUGAAACUACAUCCGAAUGGCCGUUAUCACCGAAAUCAUCAGAAAAUUCAUCAUCCCAAACAAAUGCGUUGCAGUCAUCUCCUUUACCCCAGAAUUUACACUUCCAGUAUUUUCUCCCGGGAUUUGCAACCGAUUUUGAAACAAAUAACUUCAUGGAGACAUUGUGGCCGCAUUUGGGAGUUACUCUACCAUUUGAAGAUAAGCUUGAAGUAGAACAAUUUGGUUGA